GUGCUCACUUCAGCAGCACAUAUACUAAAAUUGGAACAAUAUAGAGAAGAUUAGCAUGGCCCUGCACAUGGAAGACAAGCAAAUUCACGAAGUAGUCCUUGUUUUA
This is a small nuclear RNA of Sciurus vulgaris (Eurasian red squirrel), 106 nucleotides long. The record is from Ensembl. Lineage: Eukaryota; Metazoa; Chordata; Mammalia; Rodentia; Sciuridae.